UACGUAGGGUGCAAGCGUUGUCCGGAAUUAUUGGGCGUAAAGAGCUCGUAGGCGGUCUGUUGCGUCGGCUGUGAAAACCCGGGGCUCAACUCCGGGCCUGCAGCCGAUACGGGCAGACUAGAGUUCGGCAGGGGAGACUGGAAUUCCUGGUGUAGCGGUGAAAUGCGUAGAUAUCCGAAGGAACACCGGUGGCGAAAGCGGCGCGCUGGACCUCUUCUGACGCUGAGGCGCGAAAGCCAGGGGAGCAAACGGG
Molecule: ribosomal RNA, 253 nt
Filed under: uncultured bacterium
Lineage: Bacteria
Description: partial 16S ribosomal RNA
Rfam family: Bacterial small subunit ribosomal RNA
Source: RNAcentral